Molecule: long non-coding RNA, 762 nt
Organism: Vespa velutina
Lineage: Eukaryota; Metazoa; Arthropoda; Insecta; Hymenoptera; Vespidae
Exons: 3
Source: RefSeq, a predicted model, not a curated record
UGUAAGUAAGUACGUGCCUUAUCCUUUCGAGAAACCCGGAGUAAACGUUCAACAACCAGCAGCACUAUUGCUCGACAGUACGAUUUAUCGAUUUCUCAUUGUUCGUCGAUCAAUUUGGAGACCUUCGAUCUUGAGAAUUUUUAUAGUAUUUCCUAUCCUCGAAUACCAUAUAUAAGAAGUAGAUAGGUAUAUCGGAUUCGCUUGACCGAUCAAGAAGAGGAGAGAAUCCAAGGUUAAAAUUUCUCUCGCGAGAAGACAGAAGGAUGAUUCCAACAGCAUUUUAUUAUCUUCAACUUAUUUGCUCGGGGCAAUUAUAUAUCCUGGGUGAAAGGUCAGAAGAGGCGUGCGACCUAGAAGCAUUCGCGUGCUCGUCCGAGUUGCAGUGCCAGAACUAUUAAUACUAACGGUGCGUCGAUCGAAUUCCGAACGAGUUCUAACUAUGCCGACGAUCCACGUUAGAUAGGUAGAUUUAAUGCUAGAGGAUCGAGCCAGCUUGCUUAUCGUAUACCGUACGAUGACUGAUCGUCGACUAACGAGUAUCUCUCGAUGAUAUAUAAAAAAAAAAAAAAAUAAAAAAAAAGUAAAAAAAAUCAGUAAAUAAAUAAAUAAAUAAAUAAAAGGACAUAAAAAUAUCUAAAUGCAUUGGUUUCUAAUGAAAUAAAUUUACGAUGUUAGUAAUAAGACGUUAUACACUUGACUGGUUACAAUGAUACAUGUGAUACGUAUGAUUAAUAUUACAGCAUACGUACAUAUAUUACAACA